RNAcentral lists this long non-coding RNA (299 nucleotides) under Daucus carota (carrot). RNAcentral describes it as "long non-coding RNA (DCAR_LNC002636)". Lineage: Eukaryota; Viridiplantae; Streptophyta; Magnoliopsida; Apiales; Apiaceae. The record is from RNAcentral.
AUAUUUGAAAGUGGUUUAUCGUUUGAAUUGAGAUGUAGAAGAAUGGGUGUUGAAUAUGAGAUAUUGUGAAUUAGAAAGAGAGUUUUGUAGAUAGAUGUGAUGUGAAUGAUAGAGAGUAUGUGGAAUUGAGUCUAGUUAUCAGAAGUAAUAUUGUGAGUGAGAUAGAACGUUAGUCUUAACGACGACGCUUCAAGCUAACCGGGAUUUCUUCUGAUAUCAAGAUGAGCCAACUUCAUUGCGAACGAUAAUGUCUACAAGGGAUCUUACGAAGCUAUCACGAGCGAGAACGUCGAGAAGAG